UUAUAGUGUAGUGGUUAUCGCGUGCGAUCUACAAAACAUCUAUGCCUGAUGGGCGUGGGUUCGAAUCUCUGC
This 72-nucleotide transfer RNA is filed under the name Phaeocystis antarctica. Lineage: Eukaryota; Haptophyta; Phaeocystales; Phaeocystaceae. The record is from RNAcentral.